ACUAUUAACAGAAGAAACACUCUUGAAAACUCGGCUAAUAAUCUGUGUGGCCUUUAAAAGUAGUCGUGGUGAGAGAACAAAGCGUCUCAGAACACAGACAAGUACUGCCGCGCACCACCAAUAAUAACACCACGACCCCACCAAUGGCAACAACUUCCCUUACGUUUUUAUAAUCAGCAAAGGCUUUCUCCUUUAUCACCCGGCACCCUCACAGUACCCAACAAACACAUCAUCAAAGCCCCAUAACUAAUAAUGACAACUUCGCUUACAGUUUAUAAUCAGCAAACGUUUUCUGUUUUAUCGCCGGAAAUAUUGACAAAUCAUGUUGCAAAUGCAGUGUCGUCGUACUGAGCGAGAUUAAGGCGCAUUUCCAGGCCAUAAAUUAACAAAAACGCUCUUUCCUUAACGGAUAUUGACAAGUUACGAUGCUGACAGAGUGCUGACAUGCUGAGCGAGGCUGUUGAGAUGCAUUUCCUGGCUAUAAAGGAACUUCCUGUAUACUUGGUGCAUGAGGGAAGACUCGUGUGACAAUGACCGUUCGUAUGUGGCAGCGUGACGUGUUCAAUUUCCCAGCAAGCUAAAGCCAGUCAGUGUGUCGCAACACCCAGACAACCCUUACUGUCGUUAUCUUAUUUCAUGUUGGCAGUGUGAUGUGUUCAAUUUCCCAGCAAGCUAGUCGUAGGAUUCACAUAACCCUCACUGGCGUUAUCUUAGUUCAUAGUGGAAGUGUGACGUGUUCAGUUCCCCAGCAAGCUAAAGUCAGUCAGCCAGUAAGCCGUAACACUCAGACAACCCUCACUGGCGUUAUCUUGAUUGUUUCCUCGCGUCACGCCGUCAACUGGAACGUGUAUUGCGGGCCGCGUGCAAGACAUGACUCGGAGGUUGUAGGUAUGAUGCACGUGUUGCGAGAGAACCCACGAGGAGCCGAGAGGAGGCGAGAGCAGCCGCGGACAUCACACCAGCGCCGCAGCAAGGAGGAAAACAGCUGGAGCGAAGCGAAUGUUACUGGCUUGGUGUGAUUAAGGCAGCACCGCGACCAAUGAGAACCCACAGCCUGGCGCCGCUAUCUGGUGUCCUCGAAGCGGCAGCACGUGGCGAGGCAGUUGCGGGCAAGGCUACUACGCGGGUCUACCUUUAGUUCUCCCUUCUCGGCUGGCUCAGAGAAAACAGCGCUACAGGGGAGACUAAAUUGAGGACUUAACCUUCCUAGCGGGGAUGCAGCGCGGCGGUCAGCGAGUACAUGAACGAAAUAGAUUGGGAGAGAAUAUGGCAAAGGAGAGAGUGGGUUACUGAAUACUGCAGGAGUGGCUGAUGCUGCAGCGAGUGUGGUGGCCUGCUUCUCCCCCCUGCCUCAUUCCUCCAUGCCCGUCAGGCAGGUCGGGCAGCGGUGUCGCCGGGCCCCCUGAGGCAAUGGAGACCUCUGGGGCACGGACAGUUAAUCAUAGGACGUGACAGGUAAUACACCUUGACUCAGCCGCGGCACCACGCCUCAUAAAUUAUAAAUAAUACACAAAACUAAGAUAAACGAGUGGAAAUUUAAUAAAAAUACAGAAUAAAAAUAACUUUCUUUUGAGACUGGCACUCUCAGGGGACCUAUACAUGACUUUUUGUUGCCCUUGGCCGGUGCCUCUCUUACAUAAAAAAAAAAAUACCUUUGUCUCAUCGUUGCCCAAGCCUCGUUUAAGCCUAAAUGACUGAACACCAGCACGACCUCGGAAAUGUGUCGGUGUGAAGGUGACACCACACAGUGCACACCACACACCACACCGCCACCUCUUCAAGACGCACCAUCAGGCUUCCCAUUACAGCUUCCUGGACGCUGGGCCCUUUCUCCCCUCCUCGCCUCUCCUCCCGGCCUCAUUCCUUCCUGCUUCACCCAUCGCCACACUCUCACCCCCCCCCCCAUCACACUCCCUCAUCACUGUCCCGCUGCCUCGCCUCAUAAAUACUCCGGCGGUGCGUGAGGGCGCAUCACAGUCUUCGCUGCUCAGUCCGUGUUACAAGGAAGGCCGAGGGUUCUAUAUACUUGAUAGUGAAGACAGGACGCUAAACACUUCUGUCAUCCUGAUUUUGAUUCCCUAAGUUAUUGUUGGCUUGCUGUCAGGUAUGGAAAAGCUUAGCAAUGAAGGAUUAAAAAGAAAAAAAAAAAGAGGCCUUGGAAUCAUAUGAAUCAGUAUUAGAUGACUGGACGCCUUACUGCAUAAAAGAGGUAGAGACAAAAACUAAGGCCAGAAUAAAUAACUUAGCUAAAGGUACCGAAGUCAUCAUUAUUUUUCAUUUUUUAUCACUCGUCACGUCCUUCCCUUGAGUCUCUCACCACCGCACUGCUUCCCUUCACUCCACACCCUCGCCUUUGCCUUCUCCAUGUGUGUGUGGACGAAGAUAAAAAUUUCCUUCCCCUCAAGAACACAGAAGCAAGACGGGCAGGAGAGCAUCGUCGGCGGUCGCUCAGAUGCCGCAGCUAUAAUCGAGAGGCAAGAAAAUUGGCCCAAAGGAUCACUAAGGAACGGAUGUAGCAGCGAGAAAUGGGGGACUUGGCGGGACCUCUGAACGGCGUCUUCCCAGGGGAAUGUAAAUCAACGACCAACUCCCUGUUAACCUUUUGACUCCGGCGGCUGAAAGUUAAGACGUCCGCCGUGUGUACUGCAGCAGAAGGGUGUCCUGGUGUUGGCUGUGGCCCUGUAGUUUGCUAUCUAUACAACAAACAGAGGCAGAGAACACCAUGUACGUGAACAAAACGGAACAAUAAAAACUACACAGGUUACCAAAUACCGUCCACACGCCUCACCUGCCCCGCGACGUGAACACCUGGCCGACUUGUCCUGCGUGGAUGAGUGGCGGCGGUGGAGGCGGAAGACGGCCGACGGUGGAUAGUAGAAGGGCUAGGGAGAGUGGAAAGGACGGGACACCACCACCACCACCACCACGCCCCUGGGUUAAGAAGCCGCACCUGGAGGAGUGAUUGGUGGGAGUCAGGGGAGUGAGGUAGGCCGAGGAGCAGAGCUGGGGCCUGAAAAUUGUGGAGUUGUCUGGUGUUAGCGUUCCCCUCGCAGUUAAGGAAGCCAUUGUGUCCUGCUGUUUUGCCCUUUGUAUGGUUCUUGCCUCCCAUUAGCGGGCUGAUAUUUCAUGUUUCACAGCCUGUCAUUACGACCACUGCCAAGGUGGGAGGGGAAGACCUGGAAACCCGGCUGUGGGGAGAAUGGGGGAGGGAAGGGGGCUGGGGACAGAAAUGAGAGGAUGGUGGGAUGGGAAAGACAAGAGAGGGAGAUGUGACGGAAAAACGAAUAGGUGGGAUAGGGAAGACACAAAAGGGAUAUGGAGUGAAAAAAAAAUGGAGAACAAGAGACAGGAAUAGGGAGGAGACAGUAGAGAGGAAUAGGGAGGAGGCAGAAGGGAGGAUAGGAGCAUGGAGAGCAAGGAGAGAAGGAACAGGAAGAAUGAAGAAGAGGAGGAUAGGAGAGAAAGAAGGACGGAAAGGUAGAAGUGUACAGUGAGGAGUAUGGAGGAGAGGAGGAAUAUGAAGUGUGAGUAUGAAAGAGAGGAGGACAGAAAGAUAAGACAGAAGGAUAGAGAAGGCAAGAAGAGGAGCAUGAAGGAGCAUCUUAUACUGACAAUACAUUAUCAGCACGGCAGCCAUCCCCGCAAGUCACCACCACCACCACCACCACCACCACCACAUCACCAAGCGGCCGCCUCACAAGUCCCACGAGGUGCACCAACACGCCUCACCAUCACCAUAAUGACAAUGCGAUCUUAACUAUGGCUGAUCAUCACCACCACCACCACCAUCACCACUAUCAUCACCACCACGACCACCACCUUCUCUCCCUUCUCCCGGAGCGCCACAAUACCCUUCUCCAUCUCCCAGUCCUCCUGUUUCUACACACAAUACACCUUCCGCUGCCUGACACGAGUGAUAAUCGUUAUAAUUAUGCAUGUUACUACUCCUCCUGCUAGUACUACCACCAUCACCACCACUGCCACUACUAUUACUACUACUAAUACUACUCUGUGUUAUUUAAUGUGUCUCACGUACCAGUAAGUACAUUUAAAACUACGUAGUGUCACCGAUGCAUUCAUUGACAUAUUUAUUUAUUUUUUUUUCUAUGAUGUGUUUCAAUUUUGUUAUCGUUGUAGAGUUAAGGUAAAGUGUGUGUGUGUGUGUGUGUGUGUGUGUGUGUGUGUGUGUGUGUGUAUCUUCCUAUUUUGUAUGAAGCGUUUUUGCGUUAUUUUGAGAUAUUUGACAACAUUUAAGGUUGUUUGUUGCUUAUCAUCAAUGUUUUAAAGGAUCAUAUUUUUUUUUAAGUAUAGUUUGAAUUAAUAAUAAUGAUGAUUGCCAUAUAUUUUUGCCUUGUUUGUUCACGAAUUUGUGGUUAUAUCUAUCUAUCUAUCUAUCUAUCUAUCUAUAUAUAUAUAUAUCUGUGUCCUUGUACACCUACACUAAUACUAUCUAGAUGUAACACUCCUCUGGUCUGCCUUGGUAUGACAUUCACGAGGGCAGCAGCAACAGUCUGUCCACCAUGCGCCGCUCAUCCCUCCCCGCCCUCCCAAACCUGUUUCCCUCACUGGCCCGGGGAGGGGUGGCGGGCAGGUGACAGGAAGUUAUAGUUUUAAUGCCAAGACGAGUAAAAGUUUCUUCGUGUGUGUAAGAGGAGGGAGGUGAGAACACAAUGAGGACAAAUGAGGAGAAGAAGUGAAGGUUACAUCUGUCGCUUCCACUCCUGAUUAAAAUGCUUGAGGUUAUUAAAGUGUCCCUAAAAAUUGAAUUCUGGUCCAGCAUGAUGUAUAAAAAGUGUGGUUAAGGAUUUACUCAAUAUUUUACGAAUAUAUCUGCCGCUUUUACUGCCAGCUAAAAAAAAAAAGAAUUAUAUAUUUCGGAAAUGAUUGA
This is a long non-coding RNA of Scylla paramamosain (green mud crab), 4888 nucleotides long. RefSeq lists it as uncharacterized. The record is from RefSeq and is a predicted model, not a curated record. Lineage: Eukaryota; Metazoa; Arthropoda; Malacostraca; Decapoda; Portunidae. The transcript is spliced from 2 exons.